UAGGGAAUCUUCCGCAAUGGGCGAAAGCCUGACGGAGCAACGCCGCGUGAGUGAUGAAGGUCUUCGGAUCGUAAAACUCUGUUAUUAGGGAAGAACAUAUGUGUAAGUAACUGUGCACAUCUUGACGGUACCUAAUCAGAAAGCCACGGCUAACUACGUGCCAGCAGCCGCGGUAAUACGUAGGUGGCAAGCGUUAUCCGGAAUUAUUGGGCGUAAAGCGCGCGUAGGCGGUUUUUUAAGUCUGAUGUGAAAGCCCACGGCUCAACCGUGGAGGGUCAUUGGAAACUGGAAAACUUGAGUGCAGAAGAGGAAAGUGGAAUUCCAUGUGUAGCGGUGAAAUGCGCAGAGAUAUGGAGGAACACCAGUGGCGAAGGCGACUUUCUGGUCUGUAACUGACGCUGAUGUGCGAAAGCGUGGGGAUCAAACAGGAUUAGAUACCCUGGUAGUCCACGCCGUAAACGAUGAGUGCUAAGUGUUAGGGGGUUUCCGCCCCUUAGUGCUGCAGCUAACCGCAUUUAAGCACCUCCGCCUUGGGGAAGUACGACCGCAAGGUUG
This 555-nucleotide ribosomal RNA is filed under the name uncultured bacterium. RNAcentral's name for it is "bacterial SSU rRNA". It matches the Rfam family "Bacterial small subunit ribosomal RNA", at positions 355 to 896 of the family's 1533-position model. The record is from RNAcentral.